Molecule: ribosomal RNA, 441 nt
Filed under: uncultured bacterium
Lineage: Bacteria
Description: partial 16S ribosomal RNA
Rfam family: Bacterial small subunit ribosomal RNA
Source: RNAcentral
CCUACGGGUGGCAGCAGUGGGGAAUAUUGCACAAUGGGGGAAACCCUGAUGCAGCAACGCCGCGUGGGUGAAGGAGCGUUUCGGCUCGUAAAGUCCUGUCAGCGGGGAGGAAGAAAGACGGUACCCGACCAAGAAGCCCCGGCGAACUACGUGCCAGCAGCCGCGGUAAUACGGAGGGGGCGAGCGUUAUCCGGAAUUACUGGGUGUAAAGUGAGCGUAGACGGCGUGGUAAGCCUGAAGUGGAAGCCCGCGGCCAAACCGCGGAACUGCUUUGGGGACUGUUUUGCUGGAGUAUGGUAGGGGUAAGCAGAAUUCCUGGUGUAGCGGUGAAAUGCGUAGAGAUCAGGAGGAAUACCGGUGGCGAAGGCGGCUUACUGGACCAUAACUGACGUUGAGGCUCGAAAGCGUGGGGAGCGAACAGGAUUAGAUACCCUUGUAGUC